CCUAGCAUUUUCCUGCAUAAGAGGGUGCUGCCUGUAUAUCUACUUUACUUCAGUGGUACGCCGGCAUGAUCAACCUGUAUCGCAUCAAUGCGCAGUUCAUGAAUGCGACACCUUGCUUAUUUGAGAAAUGUAAGAGAUGGUAAACUGAUGCCCGUUCAGUCACAUAUUUCGUGGAUCGCUGCUGGAGCAUUGAGCGUAUUACCUGAUAGACCUGUUGAGCAGAACGUUUGUCCAUGCCGUCCAAAUGUUCUGAAGUUAUUGCAUGCUGCCAUGCUCGGUGAAGAAGGUAAGCUGUGACGGAGACGAGGUUGUUGCUAGGGAAGGUAAUAGGCCGAUGCGGUGAUGCCAGAUUGCCAGCCAUGGUGCUUUUGCUUUGUUAUUUGGCUCCCUACCAAAGCACCCGUUUCCUGCGCCAUCGCGACCCGCACGAGCACAACUCUGCUGUUGUUGGUCUCCCCUGCGAGACGUCUCGAGUCCGGGGAGGUUGGAGGACGCCUGGACAACCUCAUCGCGAUCCCUGCUUCCUGACGGCGACGGCGGGACAGGUGGCAGCUCCCGCCGUUGCCGACGAGCUCUCCGCGGAACUCCGCGGACACCUGGGCGAACCACGCCGCUGACGACCCCGCGCCGCGCAACCAAAUGGCAUCUCGCCGGCACUUCAGAGGUCGCGUCGAC
RNAcentral lists this long non-coding RNA (675 nucleotides) under Setaria italica (foxtail millet). Its description in RNAcentral is "long non-coding RNA (SITA_LNC000120)". The record is from RNAcentral. Lineage: Eukaryota; Viridiplantae; Streptophyta; Magnoliopsida; Poales; Poaceae.